Molecule: long non-coding RNA, 1583 nt
Filed under: Serinus canaria (Common canary)
Lineage: Eukaryota; Metazoa; Chordata; Aves; Passeriformes; Fringillidae
Description: lncRNA (ENSSCAG00000002863.1)
Source: RNAcentral
CUUUGGAGAAUUAUUCUUUCCUUGUUAGUCUGCUUUGUAAACUUAAUUUCUUUUCCUUCUCAAACUUUUAAACUCCAAAAUUAUUUUAUUUUUUGUUGGGUCCCACUAGCUAAUGUGGUAUUAGUUCUUAAAGGUUUUUUUUUCUCUCCUCUUAAGUUUUGUAGCCAGCAUUAUUGCACUAAAUGGAUUGUGAGCACUUUACUUUUCCAGGGAGCUGGAGUUGCAGAUCAUUUUGUUGCCCAGAACCUCUCUGGAGAAAGUGAACAGAAAACCAGCUGCACUCGUAUUUGCAUCUGUCUGAGCCAGGUCUGCCCUGAACCACUGCACUGCUCUGUUACAGUAACUCACAGCCAGGAGUCACAACUCGGACAAGGGGAGCCGGCCAAAGGCAGCUGGCAGAGGAUGUGCCGCUGCUGCAGGCAGAGCACCUGGAAACAAUGGCACACCCGGGGAACUCCCUCCUGGAAUGCUCCUGUAGCUGCAUUAGAGCAGCAAAGCCUCUUCUGUGCACCACAUGGCAACAGUGAGCUGUGACUGAGAGGAGUCUGGAGAAAGCAGCAGAUGGACGGUGCAGAGUGCAGAGGCAAUGGGUUUUGCCUUCACAUACUGCUUGUGGAGUGUUUUGGCAGGAGCAAGAACCUCUUGCCCCUGCUCAGGUAAGAGCUUUAUUAUUUUGCCUUUUAUUAAAACUCUUCUGUUUCCAACACUACCUGAGAAGCCAUCCUGCUGAUUUUGUGCCAUUCCAGGUAGCUGAGCUAUCUGGGGUGUGAUGGGUUCUCUGAGAGCUCUUAAGACCUGGCUUGAGGAGGAAGCUCCUGUUACGAAGUGCACAUCCAGGAUUCUGGACUGGGUUAGGGACCACUGUUGGUUUUUAAUCUUAUGGAAUAUCAGAGAAGAACAAAAAAAAAUGUCUUGGGAUCUCUCACUGAAGUGUUACUACACCCUGGAAUGGAAAUCAUCUCAGUCAGGCUGGAGCUCCUGAGUUUCUCAGGUUUCUUUCACCACUGUGGACUCUUCUCAUCUGCCUCUUUCUUCCAGGAGAAAAAAAACCCAAUAACAAACAAACAAACAAAACCCCAAACCAAAACAAAACACAAAAAACCCCAAAAAAGCUGUUUUAGGUAGUUCAGCUGCUUUAGGAAGUGCCACUCAAGGCAUUCUGGGUUCUUCUCUUAGUCCAAACCAUUCUCACCCUUCAAAACUUUUAGACACUUCUGAGUUAUUCUUGCUCCUUUACAGGGUUGAAAUGGCUUCCUUUGGAUCACUGCAGUUGUAGCAGUCUCUGGGAUGUCUGUAUCAGUAGAUUUAUUCCAAGUAUUGCACAUUUGGGAUGCUUCCAUUUUGACCCAGAGAAAAUAUUCCCCCCAGCAUGAGAUGAUGUAACAGGGGUUUGAAAUGGCAAAAUGACAGUGGAAAAGGCUCCUUUCCUCUUUUUUAUUUGCUUGUUUGCCUCACUCAUCCCACUUUCACAGGAAAAUCUGUCUAUCCUUAUCUGCUCUUUUUGUCUCUCCUCUGUGCCUUUCUCAUGAUCCCUCUUUGUUUUUAUUCUCUGUUACUCUGGCUGAAACCUGGCUCAAGCCUUU